This 507-nucleotide ribosomal RNA is filed under the name uncultured bacterium. RNAcentral's name for it is "partial 16S ribosomal RNA". The record is from RNAcentral.
GGAGUUAGCCGGUGCUUCUUCUGUGAGUGAUAUCCUUCCUGCCGGCUAUUAACCCGCAGGCCUUCUUCCUCACUGAAAGUGCUUUACAACCCGAAGGCCUUCUUCACACACGCGGCAUGGCUGGAUCAGGGUUGCCCCCAUUGUCCAAUAUUCCCCACUGCUGCCUCCCGUAGGAGUCUGGGCCGUGUCUCAGUCCCAGUGUGGCUGAUCAUCCUCUCAGACCAGCUACGGAUCGUCGCCUUGGUGAGCCGUUACCUCACCAACCAGCUAAUCCGACAUAGGCUCAUCCGAUAGCGCGAGGCCCGAAGGUCCCCCGCUUUCCCCCGUAGGGCGUAUGCGGUAUUAGCCUGGGUUUCCCCAGGUUAUCCCCCACUACCGGGCAGAUUCCUAUGCAUUACUCACCCGUCCGCCGCUCGCCACCAGGGAGCAAGCUCCCCGUGCUGCCGCUCGACUUGCAUGUGUUAGGCCUGCCGCCAGCGUUCAAUCUGAGCCAGGAUCAAACUCUGA